UAGUCAUACGCUCGUCUCAAAGAUUAAGCCAUGCAUGUGUAAGUAUAAAUAAUUCUACUUUGAAACUGCGAAUGGCUCAUUAUAUCAGUUAUAGUUUAUUAGAAAUAGUGUACUACUUGGAUAACCGUAGUAAUUCUAGGGCUAAUACAUGAGUAAAUCCUCGACUUUGGAAGAGGUGUGUUUAUUAGUAUGAAAACCAUAUGCUUUUGCAUGUUAGUGAGUAAUAAUAACCUUUCAUAUCGCCUGGGUUUAAAUAGCGAUAGUUCUUUCAAGUUUCUGCCCUAUCAGCUUUCGAUGGUAGUGUAUUGGACUACCAUGGCAGUAACGGGUAACGAAGAAUUUGGGUUCGAUUUCGGAGAGGGAGCCUGAGAGAUGGCUACCACAUCCAAGGAAGGCAGCAGGCGCGUAAAUUACCCAAUCCUGACAUAGGGAGGUAGUGACAAUAAAUCACAAUGCGGGACUAUUUAGUUUUGCAAUUGGAUUGAGAACAAUGUACAAGAGUUAUCGAUAAACAAUUGGAGGGCAAGUCUGGUGCCAGCAGCCGCGGUAAUUCCAGCUCCAAUAGCGUAUAUUAACGUUGUU
Molecule: ribosomal RNA, 582 nt
Filed under: Blastocystis sp. subtype 14
Lineage: Eukaryota; Bigyra; Opalinata; Blastocystidae
Description: SSU rRNA
Rfam family: Eukaryotic small subunit ribosomal RNA
Source: RNAcentral